RNAcentral lists this ribosomal RNA (435 nucleotides) under uncultured bacterium. RNAcentral's name for it is "bacterial SSU rRNA". It matches the Rfam family "Bacterial small subunit ribosomal RNA", at positions 79 to 518 of the family's 1533-position model. The record is from RNAcentral.
CUUGCUUUCUUUAAGUUAGUGGCGGACGGGUGGAGUAACGACGUGAGCAACUUGCCUUGGACAGUGGAAUAACAACAGGGAAACUUAGUGCUAAUACCGCAUGAAGUGCGGAGAGGGCAUCCUUUCUGUACCAAAGGAAGCAAUUCCGGUCUGAGAUGGGCUCGCGUCCGAUUAGAUAGUUGGUGAGGUAACGGCCCACCAAGUCAACGAUCGGUAGCCGGACUGAGAGGUUGGCCGGCCACAUUGGGACUGAGACACGGCCCAGACUCCUACGGGAGGCAGCAGUGGGGAAUAUUAGGCAAUGGGGGCAAAACCCCCUGACCUAGCAACGCCGCGUGAAGGAUGAAGGUUUUCGGAUUGUAAACUUCUUUGGCAGGGGACGAUAAUGACGGUACCCUGAGAACAAGCCACGGCUAACUACGUGCCAGCAGCGGC